AAGGGGUACGUACGUCCUUGUUGUUGUCAGAACAUGCAAGCACAGUGAGGCGUUUGGUUAGAGUGUGUGUGUGUUCAAGAAACUUUGAAGAACAAAAUAAUGAAGAGGCAAAAGCCAUCCGGGGCGCAAUUUAAGAAAGAAAAGAAAGGAAGAAGAAAAGAAACGUGCCAAGGAGAAAGCUUUAUGUCACACCAACACGGUGCAGUAGGUCUCCACCUUGAGCCUCGACAUCCGCAUUAGCACAGGGUUGGCACGGAUCAGCCUGUGGACUUUCUGAUUCAUCCUCUUCCAUAGAAUACACUUGAGUUUAUUUGAUUGGUUCCAUGUGAGGUUUUUACACUCACCUCUUGCUUUUAAGGGGUGAGUUCACUCGCCUUGUUGCUGCACCAGAAGCUCUUGAGGAGAUGCGUGACUCCUUUGAACACUACUUGAGCUCAUAGUCACUCCACCCAUGUAGUACACAGAGCUGGGGAGUAAUGGAUAAGCAGUAGGACUCCUGGGUUUAGCCCAGAAAGUACACACAUUGGGUGCUGCCAUCUUCACAGUAUCCUGUUCCAGGUAGAAAACUAAGAAGUACAGGCCAUGUACGGUAUCUAGACUGGUCUAUGCAAUAAAUAUUAGACACCAAGAUCAGAUUUAUUUCAAUUUGUUAUUGGCUAAGUGGUACUAAACACACAACAGAUUCGAAAAUAAUAGAUCUAAAUGUAUGAUUAAUUAAAAAAGAAAUCACUUAUUGCCAGCAUAUUGACAUCUCAGCAUUUGAGCCUGGAUGAAACUGACUAUGGAUUAAUCCCAGCUGAGAAAGAUAUUUGCACUGAAGUAUCUUUGCAUUGUCUGAACAAACUCCAUUCUGCAAUAUACAUAUAGAUGGGAAAAAAAAUAUGUGGGGAAGAAUGACCUUUGCCAAUACAAAAGUUAGUUCCUCAUUUUUGGCCCGCUCACAUUGCUUUGCAGCAGAAGUGCUCACAGUGUUCAAGAGACCUGUUGAUGGUGGAAGAUGAGACUUCUACUCACCCUGCUUUUCUGUCUUAAAUAUGGUAAGACUCCUGUUCAAUGCCUCCCUGGAAUAAUAAGUGCAUUGGCUGAGGUUGAUACUCACUGUUUUUCAGGUGUUUACCCAGCGAGAGGGCAACAGAGGACCGAUGUGUUUGGGCAAGUGCUCCUGCAAAUGUAUUUCAAUCCGUUCUAUAAUCCGUUUGAAAAAGCCUGCUGUAAGUCUGACACGAGUGGAUGCAGCGUGUUUUUGAAUAACAGAGGAUAUGUCAACAAUUUCUAUAAUGGAAGAAUAUCCCUGAAAGAGUUUAACGGUGGGAUGGAAGUGAGGAUAUGGAAUUUACAGAGAGGUGAUGCCGGUUACUAUAGAUGCACUGUUCUUGGAAGGACAACCACCCUCAUCUACAAAGACACUUAUGUUGAGAUUGUUGACACAGUGGCCCGCCUAAGCCCUCUCCCGCCUUCUCCCCAACCCUCCAACCAGCUGACAACUGUCACAGCCCUGCCCACCUCUGCUGCACACACUUCAGCUGGUCUCUCUGAUAUUCACGAAAAGCCUCGGUAGUCUGUCAUAUCACAUAUAAAUACAACAAUGCAAUUUGUCUCAUGAGAAGAAAGCCAACCUCAUUUCAUACGACAAAAUGUUAUUUCACUCAGUGUUAAAUGCCAGCAAAGAUUGAAUUUUGGAUUGGAGUUUAGGAAAUUUUUUUUGUGAUUUGCAAUCGUAGUGAAGUGAGAGCAUGGCCCUACAUGCAAAUACUAAUUUCUGUGUCAUUUCAUUUCUUAAGACUCACAUGGAAGGUGUUGUUGUUAGUGGGAGCAGGAUUCAGUGUGAUCCUGGGGAUUCUCAUCUCAGCAGUAGUAAUGGCCGUGCUUCACCACAGAAAGAGGGUGAAAGACAAAUAUAGAGGAAAGCCAGCUGACUCCACAGAUGGCGUCCUGUCUGUAAGUAACUAUAUUUGAAUCUUUCCUGUCUGACUCAGGGUCAAGUGUCUUGUAUGGAGCAAUCAUAAAUAAUACAGACUACAGAUUCUCCUUUUGUUUCAAUAGUUAAAUCUUAAGUCAGCCUUCCCUUUUUUGUUCAGCACCACUGUUAACUUAAUAUAUAUAUAUAUAUAAAGACUGGAAGAGACAAUGCAGGAUGACGGUCCUGCAAUUCUUCAAUGCUUCUGAAUGAAGCUAAUACGUUUGUAUUAAGAUUGCUUUCUACCCUCACAUUCACACUUUAAAGCACACCAGCGAAGAAGUGGCCCCUAUCAUCUACACUGUGGUUGACUUCAAGCCUCAUGAAGAAAUCAGUGAGCUCUAUGCAAACGUAUGUAUGCACAGCCCAAGAACAACCAGGGCCAAAUCACCACUGGAGGACCUGGACACUGUUGAGUAUUCCACUGUUGCCAUAAGUCUUUGACAGACUCUUUGAUUUCGCUAGAUGUAGUUAGAUGCUGACUAUCGUUACGAACAUGGACUUCCUUUCAGGUGUUAAUUAUCGGACGGCGUGUGUUAUCGGCAAACGUUCGCGUUGUCAUGUGAAUCCAUUAUUAAACUGAAGUUAUUGAUUGUUA
Clupea harengus (Atlantic herring) is the source of this 2555-nucleotide long non-coding RNA. NCBI's taxonomy places the organism in Eukaryota, Metazoa, Chordata, Actinopteri, Clupeiformes, Clupeidae. The record is from Ensembl.